Molecule: transfer RNA, 66 nt
Filed under: Rasbora bankanensis
Lineage: Eukaryota; Metazoa; Chordata; Actinopteri; Cypriniformes; Danionidae
Description: tRNA-Cys
Source: RNAcentral
GGCCCUGCGGUGUUUACACGUCAAAUUGCAAACUUGAAGUCGUAGAUUAUAAGUCUUCCGGGGCUU